Molecule: long non-coding RNA, 245 nt
Organism: Hippocampus comes (tiger tail seahorse)
Lineage: Eukaryota; Metazoa; Chordata; Actinopteri; Syngnathiformes; Syngnathidae
Exons: 2
Source: RefSeq, a predicted model, not a curated record
UGCUGAUGCAAAGAGGUUGUGCUGCUCUCCCAUGGAAAACUGGGCUCACCCAGCAGAUUUCCAGAGACAACAAAGGAACACAGCACUAAGCAAAACUGAACUUCAAUAGCACACAUUCGAGAGAAAAACACAUAAGAAUAGCACAAGGAAGGCGCACUUUAGAUGCAAUUGUUAUGCAAUAUGCAAGUGCGUCACUGGUUGCUAGGUAACAUCAUCGUCGAAGACUAAAAAACCAGAUGAAGAAA